GACGAACGCUGGCGGCGUGCUUAACACAUGCAAGUCGAACGGAAAGGCCCUGCUUUUGUGGGGUGCUCGAGUGGCGAACAGGUGAGUAACACGUGAGUAACCUGCCCUUGACUUUGGGAUAACUUCAGGAAACUGGGGCUAAUACCGGAUAGGAGCUCCUGCUGCAUGGUGGGGGUUGGAAAGUUUCGGCGGUUGGGGAUGGACUCGCGGCUUAUCAGCUUGUUGGUGGGGUAGUGGCUUACCAAGGCUUUGACGGGUAGCCGGCCUGAGAAGGUGACCGGCCACAUUGGGACUGAGAUACGGCCCAGACUCCUACGGGAGGCAGCAGUGGGGAAUAUUGCACAAUGGGCGGAAGCCUGAUGCAGCAACGCCGCGUGCGGGAUGACGGCCUUCGGGUUGUAAACCGCUUUCGCCUGUGACGAAGCGUGAGUGACGGUAAUGGGUAAAGAAGCACCGGCUAACUACGUG
RNAcentral lists this ribosomal RNA (468 nucleotides) under uncultured bacterium. RNAcentral describes it as "partial 16S ribosomal RNA". It matches the Rfam family "Bacterial small subunit ribosomal RNA", at positions 28 to 507 of the family's 1533-position model. The record is from RNAcentral.